Molecule: ribosomal RNA, 440 nt
Filed under: uncultured bacterium
Lineage: Bacteria
Description: bacterial SSU rRNA
Rfam family: Bacterial small subunit ribosomal RNA
Source: RNAcentral
UUGGUGGCGACCGGCGCACGGGUGAGUAACGACGUAUGCAACCUACCGUAUCAGGAAGGGGAAGUAACCCGGCGAAAGUCGGACUAAUACCGCAUAAAACAGGGGCACCGGCAUGGUGAUAUUUGUUAAAGAAAUUCGCUGAUAGAUGGGCAUGCGUUCCAUUAGGUAGUUGGUGAGGUAACGGCUCACCAAGCCGACGAUGGAUAGGGGAACUGAGAGGUUGGUCCCCCACACUGGUACUGAGACACGGACCAGACUCCUACGGGAGGCAGCAGUGAGGAAUAUUGGUCAAUGGGCGAGAGCCUGAACCAGCCAAGGUCCGCGUGAAGGAAGAAGGAUCUAUGGUUCGUAAACUUCUUUGCAGGGAAUAAGUGCAGGACGUGUCCUGUUUUGUAUGUACCCUGAGAAUAAGGAUCGGCUAACCCCGUGCCAGCCGCCGC